GGGAAGGCCUGUGGCUCAGUGGUAGAACAUCUGUCUUGCCCUCAGAAGGUUCUAGGUUCAACCCCUGACAUCCCCA
Podarcis lilfordi (Lilford's wall lizard) is the source of this 76-nucleotide non-coding RNA. Lineage: Eukaryota; Metazoa; Chordata; Lepidosauria; Squamata; Lacertidae. The record is from the annotation of a GenBank genome assembly.